CAGAGGGGGCUAGCGUUGUUCGGAAUUACUGGGCGUAAAGGGCGCGUAGGCGGCCCGCUAAGUCGAACGUGAAAUCCCCGGGCUCAACCCGGGAACUGCGUCCGAUACUGGCAGGCUUGAAUCCGGGAGAGGGAUGUGGAAUUCCAGGUGUAGCGGUGAAAUGCGUAGAUAUCUGGAGGAACACCGGUGGCGAAGGCGGCAUCCUGGACCGGUAUUGACGCUGAGGCGCGAAAGCCAGGGGAACAAACGGGAUUAGAUACCCCGGUAGUCCUGGCCCUAAACGAUGAAUGCUUGGUGUGGCGGGUAUCGAUCCCUGCCGUGCCGAAGCUAACGCAUUAAGCAUUCCGCCUGGGGAGUACGGUCGCAAGGCUG
Molecule: ribosomal RNA, 372 nt
Filed under: uncultured organism
Description: bacterial SSU rRNA
Rfam family: Bacterial small subunit ribosomal RNA
Source: RNAcentral